UCAUACCCGUUCCCAUUCCGAACACGGAAGUCAAGCCUCCCUUCGCCGAUGGUACCUGGCCCCCGGGCCCGGGAGAGUAGGGCGCCGCUGGAU
This 93-nucleotide ribosomal RNA is filed under the name Fibrobacter sp. UWR3. Lineage: Bacteria; Pseudomonadati; Fibrobacterota; Fibrobacteria; Fibrobacterales; Fibrobacteraceae. The record is from RNAcentral.